GUUCAUUUGGCCGCACUAGUGUGGGACCCAGGGCCUCGCACGUGCUAGGUGAGCGCUGUACCCUGAGCCCCGGCCCCAGCCCACCCCGCCGCCCUCCUUUUACUUUCUAUUCUGAGACAGGCCUCACGACACACUCAGGGGCUUCUUUCCUGUGGGGUCGGUAGCGGUGUCUCCUUCUCAUUCCUGAGUGUGAGAACUGAGCUUCCGUCUUGUUCCUGGGCGUCCGCGGAAGGGUUGUUGACUCUGUUAAACUGUUGGAGGAAGACGUCUUUGGCUUCAUGGAUUCCCUCUAUUUUCUAUUCUCUGUUUUAUUAAUCUCUGCCCUGAUAUUUAUUUCCUUCUGCUAGCCUUGAAUUCGUGCUUUCUGAACUCUUUCCCCCCCAGGGCGAGGGUCAUCACUUGCCACAUGAAAAAUGAUUUAUCUGAACAAAUAAUCGGGGGACAUGCUGAAUUUGACCGUGCUGAAUAGUUUUAUCUUGUUUGUGUUUUCAGCUGUCUGGCUUUUGAGAGCCUCUGCUGUUUUCACAAUAUUGAGAGUUCCUCAGAGGCAGGUUCAAUGUGCAGGACUUUCAACAGUUCACUGAGGGACAGGGGCUGUGGCUCCGGCAGAGCACUCACCUGGCACGUGGGAG
RNAcentral lists this long non-coding RNA (632 nucleotides) under Marmota monax (woodchuck). The record is from RNAcentral. Lineage: Eukaryota; Metazoa; Chordata; Mammalia; Rodentia; Sciuridae.